This 627-nucleotide ribosomal RNA is filed under the name uncultured archaeon. RNAcentral's name for it is "bacterial SSU rRNA". It matches the Rfam family "Archaeal small subunit ribosomal RNA", at positions 147 to 774 of the family's 1478-position model. The record is from RNAcentral.
UAAUACUGGAUAGGCAAUUAUUCCUGUAAUGGUUUUUUGUUUAAAUGUUUUUUCGCCUAAGGAUGGGUCUGCGGCCGAUUAGGUAGUUGGUUAGGUAAUGGCUUACCAAGCCUUUGAUCGGUACGGGUUGUGAGAGCAAGAGCCCGGAGAUGGAACCUGAGACAAGGUUCCAGGCCCUACGGGGUGCAGCAGGCGCGAAACCUCCGCAAUGUGAGAAAUCGCGACGGGGGGAUCCCAAGUGCCAUUCUUAACGGGAUGGCUUUUCUUUAGUGUAAAAAGCUUUUGGAAUAAGAGCUGGGCAAGACCGGUGCCAGCCGCCGCGGUAACACCGGCAGCUCUAGUGGUAGCAAUUUUUAUUGGGCCUAAAGCGUCCGUAGCCGGUUUAAUAAGUCUCUGGUGAAAUCCUGUAGCUUAACUGUGGGAAUUGCUGGAGAUACUAUUAGACUUGAGACCGGGAGAGGUUAGAGGUACUCCCAGGGUAGAGGUGAAAUUCUGUAAUCCUGGGAGGACCGCCUGUUGCGAAGGCGUCUAACUGGAACGGUUCUGACGGUGAGGGACGAAAGUUAGGGGCGCGAACCGGAUUAGAUACCAGGGUAGUCCUAACUGUAAACGAUGCGGACUUGGUGU